UACAGAGGUCCCGAGCGUUGUUCGGAUUUAUUGGGCGUAAAGGGUGCGUAGGCGGCGGAGUAAGUUGGGUGUGAAAUCCCGGGGCUUAACCUCGGAAUUGCAUUCAAUACUGCUUCGCUCGAGUACUGGAGAGGAGGCUGGAAUUUACGGUGUAGCAGUGAAAUGCGUAGAUAUCGUGAGGAAGACCUGUGGCGAAGGCGGGUUUCUGGACAGUACCUGACGCUGAGGCACGAAGGCCAGGGGAGCAAACGGG
RNAcentral lists this ribosomal RNA (253 nucleotides) under uncultured bacterium. Its description in RNAcentral is "partial 16S ribosomal RNA". It matches the Rfam family "Bacterial small subunit ribosomal RNA", at positions 524 to 776 of the family's 1533-position model. The record is from RNAcentral.